Molecule: ribosomal RNA, 486 nt
Filed under: uncultured bacterium
Lineage: Bacteria
Description: bacterial SSU rRNA
Rfam family: Bacterial small subunit ribosomal RNA
Source: RNAcentral
GACAAACGCUGGCGGCGUGCUUAACACAUGCAAGUCGAACGGAGUGCCUUAGAUUGAAGCUUCGGCAGAUUUCUUUGGUUACUUAGUGGCGGACGGGUGAGUAACACGUGAGUAACCUGCCCUUGAGUGGGGAAUAACACACCGAAAGGUGUGCUAAUACCGCAUAACAUAUCAGAAUCGCAUGUUUUGAUAUCAAAGAUUUAUUGCUCAAGGAUGGGCUCGCGGCCGAUUAGGUAGUUGGUGAGGUAACGGCUCACCAAGCCGACGAUCGGUAGCCGGACUGAGAGGUUGAACGGCCACAUUGGGACUGAGACACGGCCCAGACUCCUACGGGAGGCAGCAGUGGGGAAUAUUGCACAAUGGGGGAAACCCUGAUGCAGCGACGCCGCGUGAGUGAAGAAGUAUUUCGGAUGUAAAGCUCUAUCAGCAGGGAAGAAAAUGACGGUACCUGACUAAGAAGCCCCGGCUAACUACGUGCCAGCAGCC